UGAGACCUCUUGAUGGCCGCGGCCGUGAUCUUCAUUGGGAUCGGCUGAGGAACUUCCGGGCUCCAUAGAGCACGAUGGCGGAUAACGUCCGCCCAGGGUGACCUGAGAGAUAGCGCAACAGAGAACAGACCGCCCGUCCUCGACGGGUAAGGGUGAAACGGCGGUGUAAGAGACCACCGGGCCUCUGGUAACAGUAGGUCGCAUGGCAAGCCUCAUCGGGAGCAAGGCCAAGCAGAUGGCGGUAAGGGCUGCUCGCCCGUGUCAUCGGGUAGGCUGCUAGAGCCUGGCGGCAACGUCAGGUCGAGAUGGAUGGCCAUCCGUGCCGGGCGGUCGCGCACGGCACGACAGAACCCGGGGUAUAAGAGGUCUCAUUUU
This 375-nucleotide RNase P RNA is filed under the name Bifidobacterium longum. Its description in RNAcentral is "RNase P RNA component class A". It matches the Rfam family "Bacterial RNase P class A". From Rfam's summary of the family: Ribonuclease P (RNase P) is a ubiquitous endoribonuclease, found in archaea, bacteria and eukarya as well as chloroplasts and mitochondria. Lineage: Bacteria; Bacillati; Actinomycetota; Actinomycetes; Bifidobacteriales; Bifidobacteriaceae. The record is from RNAcentral.